GUUAUGUCAUAUGACCAAAGCAAAAGUUUUGACAUGAAUUUGUUUGGCUCAAGAAUUUGCGUAUGUGCAGAUGAAGAUCUUUGCUUCUAUAUAAGUUGAUCCAUGAUCUAGCAUACUCGUAUUUGGUGCAAUUAGAUACACGGAAGUGGAUUGGAAAAUGCUUCAUGCUAAAAAAGGAUUAACUUUCAGUACGUUUGAAGUUAUAUGGGGGAUAAGUAAUGGACAUAAACGUCUCGACGAGCCACACACAUGGACAAAUGCUAUAGGCGGGUUUUCCCAAAUCUCGGCAACCAAUUUCGUCAUCUAGACCUCCAAUUUUGAAGCCAAGGCUGUCAAUUUCAGGGAACCCUUGGAGCGGUUACACAUUGCGUCUGAUGGCACUUGGCAUUCAUGGGCUAGGUUACGCACCUCCGAUUGGAACUUAUAACCAAUAAAGAAUUAAUGGAACUUGUCUCUGAUGUCAAGUUACCAUUUGGUGAAGUUUAAAAGAACUUACCACUGAAGCAAGUUACCUCUAGUGAAGAUUGAUGAAGUCUCGCUAAUGAAGAAGAGAUACCACGUAUUAGC
Molecule: long non-coding RNA, 567 nt
Organism: Helianthus annuus (common sunflower)
Lineage: Eukaryota; Viridiplantae; Streptophyta; Magnoliopsida; Asterales; Asteraceae
Exons: 3
Source: RefSeq, a predicted model, not a curated record